CUACCGGGGUUUCUAAUCCUGUUUGCUCCCCACGCUUUCGCGCCUCAGCGUCAGUGUCGGUCCAGAUGGCUGCCUUCGCCAUCGGUGUUCUUCCCAAUAUCUACGAAUUUCACCUCUACACUGGGAAUUCCACCAUCCUCUCCCGAACUCUAGUUCUCCAGUCUCAAGCGCGGUUCCCAGGUUGAGCCCGGGGCUUUCACGCCUGACUUGAAGUACCGCCUACGCGCCCUUUACGCCCAGUAAUUCCGAACAACGCUAGCCCCCUUCGUAUUACCGCGGCUGCUGGCAC
RNAcentral lists this ribosomal RNA (289 nucleotides) under uncultured Skermanella sp. RNAcentral's name for it is "partial 16S ribosomal RNA". The record is from RNAcentral. Lineage: Bacteria; Pseudomonadati; Pseudomonadota; Alphaproteobacteria; Rhodospirillales; Azospirillaceae.